AUCCAGACUCCUACGGGAGGCAGCAGUGGGGAAUAUUGCACAAUGGGGGAAACCCUGAUGCAGCAACGCCGCGUGAGUGAAGAAGUAUUUCGGUAUGUAAAGCUCUAUCAGCAGGGAAGAAAAUGACGGUACCUGAGUAAGAAGCCCCGGCUAACUACGUGCCAGCAGCCGCGGUAAUACGUAGGGGGCAAGCGUUAUCCGGAUUUACUGGGUGUAAAGGGAGCGUAGACGGCGAGGUAAGCCUGAAGUGGAAGCCCGCGGCCCAACCGCGGAACUGCUUUGGGAACUGUUUUGCUGGAGUAUGGGAGGGGUAAGCGGAAUUCCUGGUGCAGCGGUGAAAUGCGUAGAUAUCAGGAGGAACACCGGUGGCGAAGGCGGCUUACUGGACCAUAACUGACGUUGAGGCUCGAAAGCGUGGGGAGCAAACAGGAUUAGAUACCCCCGUAC
RNAcentral lists this ribosomal RNA (447 nucleotides) under uncultured bacterium. Its description in RNAcentral is "bacterial SSU rRNA". It matches the Rfam family "Bacterial small subunit ribosomal RNA", at positions 329 to 793 of the family's 1533-position model. The record is from RNAcentral.